Molecule: long non-coding RNA, 2352 nt
Organism: Octodon degus (degu)
Lineage: Eukaryota; Metazoa; Chordata; Mammalia; Rodentia; Octodontidae
Exons: 4
Source: RefSeq, a predicted model, not a curated record
CCUUCCAUGCUGCUAGGCUGGGAUUAAACUUGGCCGAGAUUACUAAAUGCCAUGGGUGUUAGACAAUGGCAGCUUCUGCAGCAAGAACAGAAUUAAAGAAAAAGCGAAUCAAAUUGUCAGAAGGCACCUACGCUGAGAAGCACCCAGGACUGGAAAAUCUAAGGAAAGCUUCCAGCGGCCCCCGCUGGAGUUAGUAGCCUGGGCUCUAUUCUUUCCUAUGAGGAAAUGGAGGCUCGUGCAAAGGCACACACCUAGGAAGCCACAGAGCCAAGAGUUGAGCCCAAGCAUCUAGUCCAGUGUCGACACUUACAACCACGUUUCUUCUACAGUAUUUAUCACAACCUGAGCUCAAGGGCUUAAAUAUUUUUGGCCUGGGUGGCUGCCAACAGCUGACAGACACUCUCCAGAUCUCCGAGGUUGAAUUCCUUCAGGUCCUUCUUCUACUCACCAGGCGAAGCAACUCACCUAAGCCAAAGUGACCACCAUAUUCCCUGCCUGAAUGUUCAGUGUAGCUUUCAGGGCCAAAGUAGAGUCAGGACCAUUCACAUAAACAUGAAGAACCAGGGAUUGAACUUAGGCACUUGUGCUUGCCAGGCAAGCGCUUAUUCUACUGAGCCAUCUCCCCAGCCUCCAGGAUGUGCUUUUAACCAAUGCCUUCAUAAGCUGGCCUUGCGUCACCUUCACAGCAUCACCUCUAAUGCUCCUUGUCACAUACUCAGCUCCAGCCACAUGGAACCAGACGCAGAUGUGCAGACUAGGUCAGCCCUCCUACCUCAGUGGAUCCGAACACUGCCACUCUGCCUAGAAUGCUUGUUCCUACCCUCACCAGGUUUUUUGGAUUUUUUUUUUUUUUUUUUCAGAACUGGGGAUUGAACUCAGGCCCUUGUGCUUACCAUGCAAGCGCUUAUUCUACUGAGCUAUGGCCCUGGCCCCACCCUCACCAGUGUCCCUGGCUGGAAAGGGAACCUUCUUCCUCAGCAUUCGGGUUACACCUCCUGGGUGUUUUCCUAACCACUCCAGGAUCCACUACCGCUCCCUCCUUAUCCCCACAGAAUUCAGCGUGUGCAGAAUCGUCUCUCUACUUGCCUCUUCCCCUACCAACUGUCCAUCUUGGCUCAGAAGAACUGUUUCACUGUCACAGCUCUAUCUCCAGACCCCAGCAAAAGCCUUGACACACAGUAGUACUUAAAUAUUUAUCCAGUGAUUCAGUCAGCAAAUAAAUGGGUUCCAUGAAGUCAUGAACAGCACUUCAUGGAACAUGAAGGCUUACAAUUUGCACCUUGUUCUGCUACUUUUGGAUGGUUUUAGGAGAAAUCACUUCUCUCCAUUUGAAUUGAUCCAGAUAAGUUUUCAGCUUCCUUCCAGAUCUACGACUUACAAGGACACGAAGAGAAAAGUCACUCUAUGAAGUCUGUAGAGUCGACAGAUGGAAAGGAUGGGCUAAGAAGCGAUUGUGUUAAAAAAAACUGUGCUUUGAAAAAAUGUGCACAAUACAAGUAAGCUUUUAUAACAAUAUUUAGUCUUUUUCUACUUAUACUUUUAGAGCAAUUUUUAUAUAAUUGAUUACUUUUACAAAACCCUUCCAAAAUAUGUAAUCUUUGAGGAGAAGAAAAGGUGACUUUCAGCUGUAUAAGAGAACUUCAUGAAAGAAAUUAGAAUGAAGCACAAAGCAGGGACAGAAUCUGACUCAAAAUCGACUUGCUAGGAUGUCCCACAUGGCAAUCCAUUUCAGCAUUGCCUACUUAUGUGUCUGGCAGUGUUCAGGGCAACCAUCUGCCUUUCUUCCAUCUUUAAUCUUAGUUGCACCUAAGUAGUGCCCACACAGACAAGUUACACAGCGCCUUACCAUAUCGAGUAUGCUACAGUUAGUUUCUUUACAUGUUUGUCUCACUGCCACAGAAUGAAGACUGUAGAGAAUCUUUCUUUCCCUUAGGAAUCAUCUAGUAUCAUCCCCUACAUUUGACAGAAGAGAGGUCCAGAAAGACUGAAAGGCUCAGAAACAGCAAGAUUGUGGCUGAACCAGAACUUACACCUCACUUUUUCCGAUCUUCAGUCCCUGCUUUAACCUUCGCGAAAAUGACUGAUCACAGUUUUCAGCACCCUCGUGGCCUUCCCUGUCUGCUGAGGCAUUUCUCAGGUGCGUCCUGGUUCCCUAGUCCAAGUCUUAGCUCUUAACUUCACAGACUGAACCAGUGCUACCAGUGCCGCCUUCUAUCCCAGGUGCUCAUCCAGCCCUGGUGGUGGUGGACGGAAUUCUGUGCUGGCCUCAGUCCCGCCCCUGCUCACGUGUUCUGCAAAGGCUCUGUGUAGUGCAGUUCCCUAGUGGUAAAUUUGCUACACUCAGCUGAAUUG